Siniperca chuatsi (mandarin fish) is the source of this 902-nucleotide long non-coding RNA. RefSeq lists it as uncharacterized. NCBI's taxonomy places the organism in Eukaryota, Metazoa, Chordata, Actinopteri, Centrarchiformes, Sinipercidae. The record is from RefSeq and is a predicted model, not a curated record. The transcript is spliced from 3 exons.
CUUGUUCUGUGUGGUCCACAUAGCCUCCCACACCUCUCCAAAAUGUCCCUCUCCAAGUUUCUUGUGGAGUCUGAACUCCUCUCGAGGUCUCUCCCACAGCUCCAUGUCGAACAGCUCCCGCUGCACAGAGACGACAGGAUCUCUUGAAAAUGAUAUCUUGAUCUCACCGAGGAGAUCAAGAUGACCUGAGACGCGACCAAACAGGACCACAAGAAAAAAAAAUUACAAACUCUCAGCCGCCUCUGAAAGGGAAGAGAGAAGAGGGAGGAGUCACUGAGUGGCCUCAGAUCGAGAAGAGGUGCUGAUUAUAUGUUCUUAAACACUUUUUAUCCGUGUGGGAGAAGCUGCAACUUGAUGCUUGUCUUUAAUAUGUGUGAUAUUCCUAAAACAUCACUUUUGUAAUGUGAAGAGUGGGUGUGCUGCUGCUGCUUUAAAAUAGGUGGUUUCUCAUUUUGCAGUCUCCAACUACUGAGAAACCUCAGUGAGCUCCGUCGUCUCCCGCCGGGCUCGAACUGAUGAGCCAUGAAUAAAGAAUACAGCUCGCUGGGGGUUUAGUUUAAGCUGCAGUGCAGAGAGCGUGCGUAAUUACAGCACCGCCACGUUUUAUUCUAAAACUGUUCCAAAUAUUUCAUUCUCUGGUUAAUUACACUCCAAAACAUGUUUGCCUCUUGAUAUUAAUUUAUGCACAAGACAGCACUCAUUAAAUUCCUGCUGCAGGGCAACAAUAGAAAGAUUAAUUCAGGGUCUUUGUUGCACUUUGUUUCAGAUUCUUACUGCAAAGACAAAAGCUGCUCAAAUUAAAAAGAGAUAGCCAGUGGAGCUUUUGCUGCCUGAAAUUGAAAUUAUCAGCAUCAGUUGUUAUGAGUCAUUUUUGCUGCUGGUUUUUAUUGAGAAAAAUCUAU